This is a long non-coding RNA of Homo sapiens (human), 1697 nucleotides long. Ensembl annotates it as long intergenic non-protein coding RNA 964. The record is from Ensembl. NCBI's taxonomy places the organism in Eukaryota, Metazoa, Chordata, Mammalia, Primates, Hominidae.
GAAGAGCUAUUGCCAAUUUCCACCCUCUCUCUGGAAACUGUCAUUAGGGUUAGGGAAACUGUCAUGAGAUCUGCAUAUUUUAGAUAGAGGCUGCUUGCCUUAUUUGGGCACCUAAUGAAAAAGACAUGGAGGCCAGGUGCGGUGGCUCAUGUCUGUAAUCCCAGCACUUUGGGAGGCCAAGGCGAGUGGAUCACCUGAGGUCAGGAGUUCGAGACCAGCCUGACCAACAUGGCAAAACCCCGUCUGUACUAAAAGUGCAAACACAAAGGGAACUGCGUGGCUUGUUUCUACCUGAACAUUGUCAAGUGAUUUCAUCCUUUGAAACACAGUUGUGAAGUGUGUCCAGCAGUCUGAGAACAAGAAGAAGAAGAAAAUCUAAUCCUUCAGGGUGUCUGUGUGCCAGCCCUGCUCUCAGCACUUCCCAUGUGGAACUCCUUUACUUCUCCUAACAACUCCAUGACAUGGGUUAGACUGUGAUUGUUCCCAUAUUGUUGGUAGGGAAACUGAGGCAUGCAGGUGUUACAGAGCUCUCUCAAGUGGCAAGCUUUCUGGGUGGUUACAGAGUGGCAGAGCUGGGGUAUCCCAUGAUGUCACCACACUGCUAUAUGGAAAAGAACAUUAAUCGAGCACCUACGUGCUUGAUUCUCUUAAUUCUGUGACUGAACUCUCAAAACACCCUGGGUAAGCACUAUCAUCUCCUAUUUUCACAAGUGAAAAAACUGGGAUUCAAAAAAAUUAAGUGACUUACCAAAUAUUACAGAGCUAGUAAGCCAAGACUUGAACACUGAGAUGGAAUUCUACCUUUUAAGGUGGCUAAGCAACAGAAGGAUGUUCCUUUCCCAAGGGGGUAAGAAGCAGUGGCCAUGUUCAGCACAAUUGUCCUAUCACAGGUUCAUGGCAGGGACCGAGCAGUGAGGAUGGGCACUGCCCUGUGUCCUAGCAGAGGGCUGCCUUCUGGCUCCCCAGCCUUGGCCAGCAGCCCUUCUAUCUUCAUGCCAUGACCUAUUUUUGUUCACCCAGUUAGUGUAUGGCCUAUUUCUUUCCUUAAGAAUUACUUCAUAACUUUCACAGAGUAAUAGCACAUGCUGAGCACAGCAUUCAUGAACUUGGACACACGCACACAAAAUGUCCCUUUAAAUUCACAGAGCAGUAUCUGAGAUCCAGGUAGAAAGACCAAAAGGAAAAUUAAGAACAGACUCUCAGACCUGCCUUCCCUUUGCAUUCAGAGCACUGCGUGUUUUGAAAUAUACAAAUAGUGGGAAACGAAAUCUUUGUUCUGGAUGCAGUUAUAAUUUGGAAAGCGAGGAAAUAAAUUAUAACAAGGGGAAAAAACAGAAUACUACUAAAGUCAUGCCGUGUGACUUCUGAAGCUAGCUCCUAAGAAGUCCUUGCAGCUUCUGCCUGCGACUCUUAGAACACUUGCUUUGAAGGAUGCCAGAUGCUGUCUUAAAAGUCUGAGCACUCUGAAACCAUCAUGCUGUGAGGAAGCCCAAGCUAACCACAUGGGCAAAAAAGAUGCCCUCUGACUGCCACCAUUUGAGACACUCUAAUUAAGAACUGCCUCAUUGAGCCCAUGAGGCCCUGUGAAUGAUAAUAAUAAAUUGUUUUUAACCACUAUGUUUUUGGAUUUGUUAUAAGUUUAUAGAUAACAAGAAAAAGUUAUAUUAGCAUGGUAAUAAAAUUAUGGAUAUGUGUAA